This 408-nucleotide long non-coding RNA is filed under the name Callithrix jacchus (white-tufted-ear marmoset). Its description in RNAcentral is "lncRNA (ENSCJAG00000080146.1)". Lineage: Eukaryota; Metazoa; Chordata; Mammalia; Primates; Cebidae. The record is from RNAcentral.
AUGAGGGGAAACCCCUUUCACUUGGCUCUCUUUCUUUUCUCUUGUUUACCGUCACAUCAGAUGUGCCUUUCACCUUCUGCCAUGAUUGUGAGACUGCCUCAUCCACAUGGAACUGAACUGAAGGCUACCAGAGAAAACCAGAAAAUCAACCUGCUACACCAUAACCUCGUAUCUCACUGGACUCUAAGGCAACUGAGUUGGAUCGAAAUAAACCUUUAUUUCCCUUAUAUUUAUUUAUAUUUAUUUAUUUCCCCUUUAUUUGCCAUCACUGCCACCCAUCUUCUCAAAACACACACACACACACACACACACACACACACACACACACGUGUACAUUCAUUGAAGACCAAGGCCCUGACUCAUAUCCUUUUUCUCCAUCUCUAAAUCUGCCAUUACUUCCCUUAGAUC